AUCAAUAAGCGGAGGAAAAGAAACCAACAGGGAUUGCCCUAGUAACGGCGAGUGAAGCGGCAACAGCUCAAAUUUGAAAUCUGGCUCUCGGGCCCGAGUUGUAAUUUGUAGAGGAUGCUUUUGGUGCGGUGCCUUCCGAGUUCCCUGGAACGGGACGCCAUAGAGGGUGAGAGCCCCGUCUGGUUGGACGCCAAUCCUCUGUAAAGCUCCUUCGACGAGUCGAGUAGUUUGGGAAUGCUGCUCUAAAUGGGAGGUAUAUGUCUUCUAAAGCUAAAUACCGGCCAGAGACCGAUAGCGCACAAGUAGAGUGAUCGAAAGAUGAAAAGAACUUUGAAAAGAGAGUUAAAAAGUACGUGAAAUUGUUGAAAGGGAAGCGCUUGUGACCAGACUUGGGCUUGGUUGAUCAUCCAGGGUUCUCCCUGGUGCACUCUUCCGGCCCAGGCCAGCAUCAGUUCGCCCCGGGGGACAAAGACGUCGGGAAUGUGGCUCUCUCCGGGGAGUGUUAUAGCCCGGCGUGCAAUACCCUGUGGCGGACUGAG
RNAcentral lists this ribosomal RNA (539 nucleotides) under Fusarium riograndense. RNAcentral's name for it is "eukaryotic LSU rRNA". It matches the Rfam family "Eukaryotic large subunit ribosomal RNA", at positions 42 to 592 of the family's 3401-position model. The record is from RNAcentral. Lineage: Eukaryota; Fungi; Ascomycota; Sordariomycetes; Hypocreales; Nectriaceae.